Molecule: long non-coding RNA, 769 nt
Filed under: Equus asinus (donkey)
Lineage: Eukaryota; Metazoa; Chordata; Mammalia; Perissodactyla; Equidae
Description: lncRNA (ENSEASG00005029309.1, ENSEASG00020033554.1)
Source: RNAcentral
CUCCCCAGAAACAGGUCCAUAAGCGCAUGUAAAACACUAAGCUCUGGGAGGGCAGGGGGAGUCUCAGCACUCACUUGGAAGAAAAACUAGUUUUGGUGUAGUAGUAGAUCCUGUAACAGGAGUCAGAAACACGGAUCUGAAAGAUGGUGUUCCUACCAGGAGGCCACUCACUGUGGGGUCAGUCCUCAGGGCACUGCAGGGGCAUCCCAGCAGGUGGUAACGAUAUCUCCACUUCAAGAUAAGAAACCUCCAGUUCGCACAGCGGGAAAGCUUUGGGGUAGGAGCUGACCCCAGGAGGCGAGAGCUGCAUGAUGGAGGUUGCUGUGCGUGCAGUCUAGUGACUACAGGGCAAGAGCUGCUCACACCUGCUGCGCUGCCUCCAACUCUCGGGUCAAAGGCUUCGAUUCUCUCCUUCCCCAUCUAACGGAGGCGGGGGGCGGGGCGGGGGAGAGUGUUAAAAACAACGAGGUUUUGAGGUUUUUAAAUUUUUGCCUUUUGUUUUAGUUCUCUGGCUCAAGAGUAAACAGUUGGUAAGUUAUGGGCAGGAAUCUAAAAAGUAUUUGACAGGAUUCUCACUUUCAAAAGAUGCUAUUCAGAGACUUAUUCUUUUACUUAUAACAGAUUGGGAGAAUUAAUAAAAGUUCUCAACACUGAAAAUAUAAAAUGUUUGAAAUAUUUGAGCAUAUCAGAAACUAGCAGCUCUUUGCUUUAUCUUAGGGGAACAGAAUGGUGUCUGGAGAGCACUGCAUUUGAUAAAAUAUUGGCAAAA